GCUCCUACCGAUUGAAUGUGUUGGUGAGGAGUUCGGAUUGGCAGUUUGUGGUGGUUCGCCACUGCUUACAGCUGAGAAGUUCUCCAAACCGCCCCAUUUAGAGGAAGGAGAAGUCGUAACAAGGUUUCCGUAGGUGAACCUGCGGAAGGAUCAUUG
This 156-nucleotide ribosomal RNA is filed under the name Tetraselmis striata. RNAcentral's name for it is "partial 18S ribosomal RNA". It matches the Rfam family "Eukaryotic small subunit ribosomal RNA", at positions 1678 to 1831 of the family's 1831-position model. Lineage: Eukaryota; Viridiplantae; Chlorophyta; Chlorodendrophyceae; Chlorodendrales; Chlorodendraceae. The record is from RNAcentral.